GAAAAGAAACUAACAAGGAUUCCCCUAGUAACGGCGAGUGAAGUGGGAAAAGCUCAACUUUGAAAUCUGGCAGCUUCGCUGUCCGAGUUGUAGUCUCGAGAAGUGUUUUCCGCGCUGGACCAUGUAUGAGUCUGUUGGAAUACAGCGUCAUAGAGGGUGAGAACCCCGUUCAUGACAUGCCUUCCAGUGCUUUGUGAUACACUUUCGAUGAGUCGAGUUGUUUGGGAAUGCAGCUCAAAAUGGGUGGUAAAUUCCAUCUAAAGCUAAAUAUUGGGGAGAGACCGAUAGCAAACAAGUACCGUGAGGGAAAGAUGAAAAGCACUUUGGAAAGAGAGUUAACAGUACGUGAAAUUGUCGAAAGGGAAACGCUUGAAGUCAGACGUGCGUAGUGCCUUCGGGUGCUGUUGCAGGCCAGCAUCAGUUUUUCGAGCCGGAUAAAGGUGGGAGAAAGGUAGCAGUCUCGGCUGUGUUAUAGCCUCCCACUGAAUACGGAUUGUGAGACUGAGGAAUGCGAUUCUAGGAUGCUGGUGAAAUGGCUUUAAACGACCCGUCUUGAAACACG
This 562-nucleotide ribosomal RNA is filed under the name Sakaguchia oryzae. RNAcentral describes it as "partial large subunit ribosomal RNA". It matches the Rfam family "Eukaryotic large subunit ribosomal RNA", at positions 56 to 663 of the family's 3401-position model. Lineage: Eukaryota; Fungi; Basidiomycota; Cystobasidiomycetes; Sakaguchiales; Sakaguchiaceae. The record is from RNAcentral.